Molecule: ribosomal RNA, 657 nt
Filed under: Citrobacter sp.
Lineage: Bacteria; Pseudomonadati; Pseudomonadota; Gammaproteobacteria; Enterobacterales; Enterobacteriaceae
Description: bacterial SSU rRNA
Rfam family: Bacterial small subunit ribosomal RNA
Source: RNAcentral
GGCGUAAAGCGCACGCGGGGGGUCUGUCAAGUCGGAUGUGAAAUCCCCGGGGCUCAACCUGGGAACUGCAUCCGAAACUGGCAGGCUAGAGUCUUGUAGAGGGGGGUAGAAUUCCAGGUGUAGCGGUGAAAUGCGUAGAGAUCUGGAGGAAUACCGGUGGCGAAGGCGGCCCCCUGGACAAAGACUGACGCUCAGGUGCGAAAGCGUGGGGGAGCAAACAGGAUUAGAUACCCUGGUAGUCCACGCCGUAAACGAUGUCGACUUGGAGGUUGUGCCCUUGAGGCGUGGCUUCCGGAGCUAACGCGUUAAGUCGACCGCCUGGGGAGUACGGCCGCAAGGUUAAAACUCAAAUGAAUUGACGGGGGCCCGCACAAGCGGGGGGAGCAUGUGGGUUUAAUUCGAUGCAACGCGGAAGAACCUUACCUACUCUUGACAUCCAGAGAACUUAGCAGAGAUGCUUUGGUGCCUUCGGGAAACUCUGAGACAGGUGCUGCAUGGCUGUCGUCAGCUCGUGUUGUGAAUGUUGGGGUUAAGUCCCGCAACGAGCGCAACCCUUAUCCUUUGUUGCCAGCGGUUCGGCCGGGAACUCAAAGGAGACUGCCAGUGAUAGACUGGAGAAGGUGGGGAUGACGUCAAGUCAUCAUGGGCCCUUACGAG